CCCAUUCCUAGAUCCCUGCAGUGCACAGGAAAUCAAAACUAAUAAAAUUAACACCACUGAACCACAGAACCCACAAAUGCUGGUCAUGGUUUUGUUUCCAGUCGACAUGGGAGCUGAUGAGCUAAUUUUAUAACUAUCACAAUUCCCUUCUCCCAGCAGCUGCAAGAUCAAUAGAGAUGAGAUCUCCAAGUUGUCCGCUGACACCUAAGAAAAAUGGUGAUACUGUUAUGCCUCUGUGAUCUAAAGUAGGGGACAGCAAGCUUUCUGAAAGAUCCAUAAAUAUUUUAGUCUUUGUAGCCUCACAAUCACCAACAUGUAAAUGGAUGAAU
Molecule: long non-coding RNA, 329 nt
Filed under: Chinchilla lanigera (long-tailed chinchilla)
Lineage: Eukaryota; Metazoa; Chordata; Mammalia; Rodentia; Chinchillidae
Description: lncRNA (ENSCLAG00000026113.1)
Source: RNAcentral